Molecule: ribosomal RNA, 207 nt
Filed under: uncultured bacterium
Lineage: Bacteria
Description: partial 16S ribosomal RNA
Rfam family: Bacterial small subunit ribosomal RNA
Source: RNAcentral
CGCGUAGGUGGUUUGUUAAGUCGGAUGUGAAAGCCCUGGGCUCAACCUGGGAAUUGCAUCCGAUACUGGCCGACUGGAGUGCGAGAGAGGGAGGUAGAAUUCCACGUGUAGCGGUGAAAUGCGUAGAUAUGUGGAGGAAUACCGGUGGCGAAGGCGGCCUCCUGGCUCGACACUGACGCUGAGGUGCGAAAGCGUGGGGAGCAAACA